ACUCCGCCUACCCCGUCCCUGGCUCCACCACCCGGGAACUGCACCAGCUGCCCCGGGCUCCGCCCCGAGGACCUGUGCGGCCCGCCGAACGCCGGCUCCUCCCCCGAAGCCUGCCCGCGGGACUCGUCCAGUCGCUUAGCCUCAGGCUCCUGCCCUGGCCCAAGCCAGCCAGCCAUGGAGGGGGAUGUGCCCGCCGCUGCAGCCGCCCGCUACCAGCCGGCCAGCCCCCCGCGGGACGCCUGUGUCUACAACAGCUGCUACUGUGAAGAAAAUAUUUGGAAGCUCUGUGAAUACAUCAAAAACCAUGACCAGUAUCCUUUAGAAGAGUGUUAUGCUGUCUUCAUAUCUAAUGAGAGGAAGAUGAUACCUAUUUGGAAACAACAGGCAAGACCUGGAGAUGGACCCGUGAUCUGGGAUUACCAUGUUGUCCUGCUUCAUGUUUCAAGUGGAGGACAGAGCUUCAUUUAUGAUCUUGACACUGUGCUGCCAUUUCCCUGUCCUUUUGACACUUACGUGGAAGAUGCCUUUAAGUCUGACGAGGACAUUCAUCCACAGUUCAGAAGGAAAUUUAGAGUGAUCCGUGCAGAUUCGUAUUUGAAGAACUUUGCUUCUGACCGAUCUCACAUGAAAGAUUCCAGUGGGAACUGGAGGGAACCUCCUCCUUCGUACCCCUGCAUUGAAACUGGAGAAUGACCUCGGAAGCUGCCGGUUGAAGAUAGCAGAGCCACCACCAGCCUGGACCCCCGAAUGACCCUAAGGAGCCGUCUUACACCUACUUAAAAAGUAUGAUGUGGCACUGAUCCUCAAAGACAAAACCUGUAUAUUUCUUUGGAAGUCACAGAAUUAUUGGAGUGGCUACACCAGCUUGCAUUCCCACCAGCAGUGUAGGAGGGUUCCCCUUUCUCCGCAUCCUCGCCAGCUAAAAGAUUACACUUUGAACAAACAAGUGAGCCUAACUGAAGAACUGUCCUGUCAUUACUUAAAAGGGCCUUGGAGGAAGGAAGUGACUGUUGUAGCACAGAAGGUGUAGAACCAGAAAAUGUGGAAAUAUGUGAAGAUCCCUAGGACCAGGAAGGAAAGUCCAGCCUGAGCCAGAAUUACUCACUUAGCUCUCCUGUUGAGGGCUGACCAGCAGCUCUCUGGUGAGAGAGACUCGUUGGAGACGUGCUGGAGAGAGACUUGCUGGAGACUCGCUCUGGGACCUGCUGCUUCUGUGUGUUGGGUGCACAUGUACCUGCUGAGUAGAGAGAACACAUUCUGGAGAUUAGUGACAGUCUCUGCAAGCAAGUCCUUCUGGCAUCUUCCCAGAACACUGAGGUAAUGAGGCUGUCCAGUUAUAACGCAGUGAGUAUCUGGGCUGAGUGCUGGAGCAAGUACAGUCCAGCAUCUGACACUCAACGGGGACAAGGGGCUAAGUCGCCCCCCGUAAGACAGUGUCUUACAGUGUGAGGCGCACGGUGGCUGCUUAGUAAACAUUUGCCGAGGGAACGAAUGUAUGUUUAUGAGGAUCUUUCCAUGCAUUUCUGUUAGCGGUGUUGUUAUAAAACCAAUGACAUAGUAUGUGGUUGUACCCCUAAGGCAGCUGUAGCCAGCUGAUGAGAUUGAAUUUGGUUGUGGGACCCAACCGACACGACCAGAGUCAUUUUGCUCUGGGAGGGCUUCUCUCCGGGUCUUCUUUUGCCCUUUGUCUCCCUGGGCUCCCUCCCAGUCUUGCUGACACAUUGUCUGUGUCAGUUCCGAGAGCGUUCACAAGUAUCUCCAGCUAGUUAGAACAUUCUUUCAGGAGAUCUACUCCGUGUGUGCCAUGGCUGAAGAUCCCAGAGGGAGGGGACAAUAUCCCUGUAUUUCCACAGGGUAAGCUUGGGGUGCUAUGGUCUGAAUGCUUGUGUCCCUCUCUCUGUCCCAAAUUCAGAUGUUGAAAUCCUACCCCACGGGGUGAUGGUAUUAGGAGGUGGGGCCUUUGGCAGGGGAUUAGUUCUUGAGGGCGGAGCCCUUUUGACUGGGGUUAGCACUGUCAGGAAAGAGACCCUGUCACCCCAACCCCUUCCCACGUGAGGACGCAACGGUAAGUGUGCAGCCCACAACCUCACUGCCCUGCAGGCGCCCUGACUGGACUUCCAGCAUCGAGAACUGUGAGCAGUAACUUCCUGUUGUUUGGAAGCCACUCAGUCUGUGGCGUUUUGUUAGGGCGUCCUAAAAGGAUCGAGACCAGAAUUCCUAACCUGCAGUGCCAGCACAUACUGUGUGUGGUGAUAGGAGCACAUGUUUCUGGAGGAGGACCCGUAGCUUGUAUUAUCUGUUUAUUCAUUUAAAAAUAUUUUUACUUAUGUAGGGGCUACUCUGUGCCAGCUCCAGGUUAGAUGCUGGUAACUGAAACCAGAGUAGCAUGUGUCCUCCUGUUGGUUACGGGCUGACAGUAGGGACCGCUGUCCAUCAAAGAAUCAUCCAAAUGACCACACAAUGGCAGCUGUGCCCCGUGCUAUUAAGGAGAGAAUAGCUACAUAAGGUGGGAGAAGUAAUCUGGUUAAAGGGGUGGGGAGGCUUCCUGGAGGAGGUGUCGCAUCCAUCCAACAGAUAGCUCCUAUUCAGUGCCAAGCAGUGUUCCUGCCCUGGUGACUGAGCAGUGGAGAAAAAGCCCAUGUGCUCAUAGAGCCUACGUUCUGGUGGAGGGGACAGACCGUGAACAUGUACGGCGUGUGAAAAGAUAGUGGCCAUUUACUGAGUUGGGGAAAGAUUGUCGGUGGAGCCUUUUGGGAGAGGAAGAUCAGGAGUUUCAUUUUGGACGUUAAACCUGAGAUGCCAGUUGGAUGUCUUUGAGGAGAUGUCAGAUAGGAAUUGGGUAGAGGAGUCUGGGAUUCAGGGAUGAGGUUCAAGGUGCGAAUGUACAAUUGGGACGCUUGGAUAAUAUUUGAAGGCACAGGACUCUAGGAGAUCUUGGAGAUGCUGGGUGUAGAUGGGGAAGAUGUCUGGGGACCUAGUCUUGGGGACUUUUACAUUUAGGGGUCUGGAGAGGAGAAGGUGCCAGAAAGGGACAGAGAGGAUGAGCUGGGGCGGGAGUGGGAGUUAGAGGAUAAGGAGAAAACCAGGGAAGCCCAGGGGAGAAGUGAUUUCAGAGAGACAGGGAUCAGAUCAGAUGUCACUGGUCAGUGGAGUCAGCUGAGGACCGAGGUGACUGUUGGCUUUGGCAACAUGGAGCUUCUUCAGAGCAAUUUCAGUGGAGCGAUGGGGAUGGCAGUGGUUGGGUGGCUUCAGGAGGGAACGGGAGGAAGGAGGCAGAGUACUUGGUAAAUGGAGCAGAGAAAUGGGCCAGUGCAGAGGGGAAGGGGUCAGGGAGAGACUGCUGUGUCUCUAGCCCUCAUGCAUUUUUUCCUUUAUGAACAGAUUAACCAUUUCUGCUCCUCCAGAGAGAGCUCUGAUGAUACCAGAGACCUGUCCUCCAGGCCUGCUGUCGUCACACUCGGGGCUGACACCACUCAGCUCUUGCUCUGGCGGGGGUUAUUCCCGAUGACUAGAUGAGUCCCACGGUUCCCUUCUCUUUUCUUCUCUUCUUCCUUCCUUUCAAGAUUUUAUUUGAGAGACAUAGAGAGAGGGCAAGAGCAGCGG
RNA transcript from Mustela erminea (ermine), 3603 nucleotides. It is a transcript of the gene named WDYHV motif containing 1, with no coding region annotated. Lineage: Eukaryota; Metazoa; Chordata; Mammalia; Carnivora; Mustelidae. The transcript is spliced from 7 exons. The record is from RefSeq and is a predicted model, not a curated record.